This 375-nucleotide ribosomal RNA is filed under the name uncultured bacterium. RNAcentral describes it as "bacterial SSU rRNA". It matches the Rfam family "Bacterial small subunit ribosomal RNA", at positions 521 to 896 of the family's 1533-position model. The record is from RNAcentral.
UAAUACGAAGGGAGCUAGCGUUGUUCGGAAUUACUGGGCGUAAAGGGCGCGUAGGCGGCCUUGUGCGUUGGGUGUGAAAGCCCCGGGCUCAACCUGGGAACUGCACUCGAUACGGCGAGGCUGGAAUCCGGAAGAGGAUGGUGGAAUUCCCAGUGUAGAGGUGAAAUUCGUAGAUAUUGGGAAGAACACCGGUGGCGAAGGCGGCCAUCUGGUCCGGUAUUGACGCUGAGGCGCGAAAGCGUGGGGAGCAAACAGGAUUAGAUACCCUGGUAGUCCACGCCGUAAACGAUGUGCGCUAGCCGUUGGCCAGCUUGCUGGUCGGUGGCGGAGCUAACGCAUGAAGCGCACCGCCUGGGGAGUACGGCCGCAAGGUUA